Molecule: ribosomal RNA, 163 nt
Filed under: Thermothelomyces thermophilus
Lineage: Eukaryota; Fungi; Ascomycota; Sordariomycetes; Sordariales; Chaetomiaceae
Description: partial small subunit ribosomal RNA
Rfam family: Eukaryotic small subunit ribosomal RNA
Source: RNAcentral
CGUUGAUUACGUCCCUGCCCUUUGUACACACCGCCCGUCGCUACUACCGAUUGAAUGGCUCAGUGAGGCUUUCGGAUUGGCCCAGAGAGGUCGGCAACGACCACUCAGGGCCGAGAAGUCAUCCAAACUCGGUCAUUUAGAGGAAGUAAAAGUCGUAACAAGG